UGGGGAUAUGGCUCAGUUGGUAGAGUGUGGGCCUCUCAAGCACAAGGCCCUGGGUUCAAUCCUCAGUACUACAA
Molecule: non-coding RNA, 74 nt
Organism: Sciurus carolinensis (gray squirrel)
Lineage: Eukaryota; Metazoa; Chordata; Mammalia; Rodentia; Sciuridae
Source: the annotation of a RefSeq genome assembly